UUGUGUGAAAGAAGCAUUAAAGUUCUAGUCAAAUUUGCAAGUAAAAAGUGUGGAACUACUGGGGAACCACUAAAGCUUCCUUGUUUUUUCUUGCUAGGCUGUAUAUGGCAGAAGAAUAACUGGUUUUAUAAAGAACACCAUCCCAAAUUCACUGCUAUGGUUAGAAGAUUUGGAGCAAGCCUCAUCUGAAAAGCAUGAAGAAUGAUUCUGAUCAUCAUAGAUUGGGCUCCAGAGAUGCUCCCAGAGCCAGGAGAUGCAAGAAGAAGCAAUGAUAUGUUAGCAGUCAAUUGAUUUGACGUGAUUCUGGGAAACUGUACAAUAAUGUGGGAAUACAAGAUGAUCUUUCACCUAAAAGGGCUUGCCUCAUAAGCCUGAAGACCUGAGUUUGAUUCCCAGAUCCCAUGUGAAGGUAGAAAGAAAACCAGACGCUAUGCAGUUCUCUGAUCUCCACAACGAGCCCUGACAUAAAGUACCCCUGCCUAUCCCCACAAAUAUACCAUACACACAAAUGUUCACAACAGUAAUAAAUAAAACUAAAAUUUAAAAUAAU
Molecule: non-coding RNA, 550 nt
Organism: Peromyscus maniculatus bairdii (prairie deer mouse)
Lineage: Eukaryota; Metazoa; Chordata; Mammalia; Rodentia; Cricetidae
Source: RefSeq, a predicted model, not a curated record